UGUGGCGGCGAUGGCCAGAAGGAUACACCUGUUCCCAUGCCGAACACAGAAGUUAAGCUUCUGAGCGCCGAGAGUAGUUGGGGGAUCGCUCCCUGC
Molecule: ribosomal RNA, 96 nt
Filed under: Paucilactobacillus wasatchensis
Lineage: Bacteria; Bacillati; Bacillota; Bacilli; Lactobacillales; Lactobacillaceae
Source: RNAcentral